RNAcentral lists this ribosomal RNA (294 nucleotides) under uncultured microorganism. RNAcentral describes it as "partial 16S ribosomal RNA". It matches the Rfam family "Bacterial small subunit ribosomal RNA", at positions 505 to 796 of the family's 1533-position model. The record is from RNAcentral.
GUGCCAGCAGCCGCGGUAAUACGUAGGUGGCAAGCGUUGUCCGGAAUUAUUGGGCGUAAAGCGCGCGCAGGCGGUUUCUUAAGUCUGAUGUGAAAGCCCACGGCUCAACCGUGGAGGGUCAUUGGAAACUGGGGAACUUGAGUGCAGAAGAGGAAAGUGGAAUUCCACGUGUAGCGGUGAAAUGCGUAGAGAUGUGGAGGAACACCAGUGGCGAAGGCGACUUUUCUGGUCUGUAACUGACGCUGAGGCGCGAAAGCGUGGGGAGCAAACAUGGAUUAGAUACCCUGGUAGUCC